GGUUAAGCGACUAAGCGUACACGGUGGAUGCCCUGGCAGUCAGAGGCGAUGAAGGACGUGCUAAUCUGCGAAAAGCGUCGGUAAGGUGAUAUGAACCGUUAUAACCGGCGAUGUCCGAAUGGGGAAACCCAGUGUGAUUCGUCACACUAUCGUUAACUGAAUACAUAGGUUAACGAGGCGAACCGGGGGAACUGAAACAUCUAAGUACCCCGAGGAAAAGAAAUCAACCGAGAUUCCCCCAGUAGCGGCGAGCGAACGGGGAGCAGCCCAGAGUCUGAAUCAGCUUGUGUGUUAGUGGAACGGUCUGGAAAGUCCGACGGUACAGGGUGAUAGUCCCGUACACCAAAAUGCACAGGUUGUGAACUCGAAGAGUAGGGCGGGACACGUGGUAUCCUGUCUGAAUAUGGGGGGACCAUCCUCCAAGGCUAAAUACUCCUGACUGACCGAUAGUGAACCAGUACCGUGAGGGAAAGGCGAAAAGAACCCCGGCGAGGGGAGUGAAAAAGAACCUGAAACCGUGUACGUACAAGCAGUGGGAGCACCUUCGGGUGUGACUGCGUACCUUUUGUAUAAUGGGUCAGCGACUUAUAUUCUGUAGCAAGGUUAACCGUAUAGGGGAGCCGCAGGGAAACCGAGUCUUAACUGGGCGUUAAGUUGCAGGGUAUAGACCCGAAACCCGGUGAUCUAGCCAUGGGCAGGUUGAAGGUUGGGUAACACUAACUGGAGGACCGAACCGACUAAUGUUGAAAAAUUAGCGGAUGACUUGUGGCUGGGGGUGAAAGGCCAAUCAAACCGGGAGAUAGCUGGUUCUCCCCGAAAGCUAUUUAGGUAGCGCCUCGUGAAUUCAUCUUCGGGGGUAGAGCACUGUUUCGGCUAGGGGGUCAUCCCGACUUACCAACCCGAUGCAAACUACGAAUACCGAAGAAUGUUAUCACGGGAGACACACGGCGGGUGCUAACGUCCGUCGUGAAGAGGGAAACAACCCAGACCGCCAGCUAAGGUCCCAAAGUCAUGGUUAAGUGGGAAACGAUGUGGGAAGGCACAGACAGCCAGGAUGUUGGCUUAGAAGCAGCCAUCAUUUAAAGAAAGCGUAAUAGCUCACUGGUCGAGUCGGCCUGCGCGGAAGAUGUAACGGGGCUAAACCAUGCACCGAAGCUGCGGCAGCGACACUAUGUGUUGUUGGGUAGGGGAGCGUUCUGUAAGCCUGCGAAGGUGACCUGUGAGGGUUGCUGGAGGUAUCAGAAGUGCGAAUGCUGACAUAAGUAACGAUAAAGCGGGUGAAAAGCCCGCUCGCCGGAAGACCAAGGGUUCCUGUCCAACGUUAAUCGGGGCAGGGUGAGUCGACCCCUAAGGCGAGGCCGAAAGGCGUAGUCGAUGGGAAACAGGUUAAUAUUCCUGUACUUGGUGUUACUGCGAAGGGGGGACGGAGAAGGCUAUGUUAGCCGGGCGACGGUUGUCCCGGUUUAAGCAUGUAGGCUGGUUGUCCAGGCAAAUCCGGAUAAUCAAGGCUGAGGUGUGAUGACGAGGCACUACGGUGCUGAAGUAACAAAUGCCCUGCUUCCAGGAAAAGCCUCUAAGCAUCAGGUAACAUCAAAUCGUACCCCAAACCGACACAGGUGGUCAGGUAGAGAAUACCAAGGCGCUUGAGAGAACUCGGGUGAAGGAACUAGGCAAAAUGGUGCCGUAACUUCGGGAGAAGGCACGCUGGUGUGUAGGUGAAGCCCCUGCGGGUGGAGCUGAGACCAGUCGAAGAUACCAGCUGGCUGCAACUGUUUAUUAAAAACACAGCACUGUGCAAACACGAAAGUGGACGUAUACGGUGUGACGCCUGCCCGGUGCCGGAAGGUUAAUUGAUGGGGUUAUCCGUAAGGAGAAGCUCUUGAUCGAAGCCCCGGUAAACGGCGGCCGUAACUAUAACGGUCCUAAGGUAGCGAAAUUCCUUGUCGGGUAAGUUCCGACCUGCACGAAUGGCGUAAUGAUGGCCAGGCUGUCUCCACCCGAGACUCAGUGAAAUUGAACUCGCUGUGAAGAUGCAGUGUACCCGCGGCAAGACGGAAAGACCCCGUGAACCUUUACUAUAGCUUGACACUGAACAUUGAGCCUUGAUGUGUAGGAUAGGUGGGAGGCUUUGAAGCGUGGACGCCAGUCUGCGUGGAGCCAACCUUGAAAUACCACCCUUUAAUGUUUGAUGUUCUAACGUUGGCCCCUGACCGGGGUUGCGGACAGUGUCUGGUGGGUAGUUUGACUGGGGCGGUCUCCUCCCAAAGCGUAACGGAGGAGCACGAAGGUUAGCUAAUCCUGGUCGGACAUCAGGAGGUUAGUGCAAUGGCAUAAGCUAGCUUGACUGCGAGCGUGACGGCGCGAGCAGGUGCGAAAGCAGGUCAUAGUGAUCCGGUGGUUCUGAAUGGAAGGGCCAUCGCUCAACGGAUAAAAGGUACUCCGGGGAUAACAGGCUGAUACCGCCCAAGAGUUCAUAUCGACGGCGGUGUUUGGCACCUCGAUGUCGGCUCAUCACAUCCUGGGGCUGAAGUAGGUCCCAAGGGUAUGGCUGUUCGCCAUUUAAAGUGGUACGCGAGCUGGGUUUAGAACGUCGUGAGACAGUUCGGUCCCUAUCUGCCGUGGGCGCUGGAGAAUUGAGGGGGGCUGCUCCUAGUACGAGAGGACCGGAGUGGACGCAUCACUGGUGUUCGGGUUGUCAUGCCAAUGGCACUGCCCGGUAGCUAAAUGCGGAAGAGAUAAGUGCUGAAAGCAUCUAAGCACGAAACUUGCCCCGAGAUGAGUUCUCCCUGAGACUUUAAGUCUCCUGAAGGAACGUUGAAGACGACGACGUUGAUAGGCCGGGUGUGUAAGCGCAGCGAUGCGUUGAGCUAACCGGUACUAAUGAACCGUGAGGCUUAACCUU
RNAcentral lists this ribosomal RNA (2902 nucleotides) under Klebsiella pneumoniae. RNAcentral's name for it is "23S ribosomal RNA". It matches the Rfam family "Bacterial large subunit ribosomal RNA". Lineage: Bacteria; Pseudomonadati; Pseudomonadota; Gammaproteobacteria; Enterobacterales; Enterobacteriaceae. The record is from RNAcentral.